CGAGUUUGAUCCUGGCUCAGAUUGAACGCUGGCGGCAGGCCUAACACAUGCAAGUCGAGCGGAUGAGUGGAGCUUGCUCCAUGAUUCAGCGGCGGACGGGUGAGUAAUGCCUAGGAAUCUGCCUGGUAGUGGGGGACAACGUUUCGAAAGGAACGCUAAUACCGCAUACGUCCUACGGGAGAAAGCAGGGGACCUUCGGGCCUUGCGCUAUCAGAUGAGCCUAGGUCGGAUUAGCUAGUAGGUGAGGUAAUGGCUCACCUAGGCGACGAUCCGUAACUGGUCUGAGAGGAUGAUCAGCCACACUGGGACUGAGACACGGCCCAGACUCCUACGGGAGGCAGCAGUGGGGAAUAUUGGACAAUGGGCGAAAGCCUGAUCCAGCAAUGCCGCGUGAGUGAUGAAGGCCUUCGGGUUGUAAAGCUCUUUUACUCGGGACGAUAAUGACGGUACCGAGAGAAUAAGCCCCGGCUAACUCCGUG
RNAcentral lists this ribosomal RNA (479 nucleotides) under uncultured bacterium. RNAcentral's name for it is "bacterial SSU rRNA". It matches the Rfam family "Bacterial small subunit ribosomal RNA", at positions 9 to 507 of the family's 1533-position model. The record is from RNAcentral.